UAGGGAAUAUUAGUAAUGGGCGAAAGCCUGAACUAGCAAUGCCGCGUGUGCGAAGAAGGCCUUCGGGUUGUAAAGCACUUUUUGAGAGGAUGAGGAAGGACGGUACUCUCAGAAUAAGUCUCGGCUAACUACGUGCCAGCAGCCGCGGUAACACGUAGGAGGCGAACGUUAUCCGGAUUUACUGGGCGUAAAGCGCGUGUAGGUGGUUUGGUAAGUAGGGCGUGAAAGCUCCUGGCUCAACUGGGAGAGGCCGUUCUAAACUGCCGAACAAGAGGAUGGUAGAGGGAGGUGAAUUCCGGGUGUAGCGGUGGAAUGCGCAGAUAUCCGGAGGAACACCAGUGGCGAAAGCGGCCUCCUGGACCACUCCUGACACUCAGACGCGAAAGCUAGGGUAGCAAACGG
Molecule: ribosomal RNA, 402 nt
Filed under: uncultured bacterium
Lineage: Bacteria
Description: bacterial SSU rRNA
Rfam family: Bacterial small subunit ribosomal RNA
Source: RNAcentral